AAUGUCUUGUCGGGGUGCCUUAAUUAAAAGGCUGAGAUCACAAUGUGGAUCCCGUUGAACCUGAUCUGGUUAAUACCAGCGUAGGAAACAAGAUGAAAGAACGU
RNAcentral lists this non-coding RNA (104 nucleotides) under Oleispira antarctica. Its description in RNAcentral is "TPP sequence". It matches the Rfam family "TPP riboswitch aptamer (THI element)". Rfam says of the family: Vitamin B(1) in its active form thiamin pyrophosphate (TPP) is an essential coenzyme that is synthesised by coupling of pyrimidine and thiazole moieties in bacteria. RNAcentral also lists the same sequence under 1 other name. The record is from RNAcentral. Lineage: Bacteria; Pseudomonadati; Pseudomonadota; Gammaproteobacteria; Oceanospirillales; Oceanospirillaceae.